CAUGGUCUCUGGUGGGUCUGACACUUCAUUUGACGAUAGAGCCCAUUCAGUUUCAGGUCUCUUCGCCAUUUCACGUUUGUAUGUAGCUGUCUUUGACUUCCUUUCGACUGGACCUGCCCGCCUGACAAGGCAUGCUUGCUUCUCCGUCUAGAAAGUGAUCAAAUGUCUUGGCUCCUGAGGCUGUAUGUUUAUCUGAGGCUAGAGGGAUGGAGGGUGUCUCUCUUCAGACACACCUGUGGUUGGACCCAGUACCUGUUGUCAUUCCCAGGCUGUCCUUGCCUUCACAGAUCCCUCGCGAUUGGAACCAAAUCUGGUUAUAAGCUGUUUUCUUUGAGCUCCGUGGAGCAGCUGGACCCCGUCCACGGAAGCAAUGACAUCCCCGACGUCUGCAUCGUGGAGCGCCUCUUCUCCAGCAGCCUGGUGGUGGUGGUGAGCCACACGAAGCCUCGCCAGAUGAACGUCUACCACUUCAAGAAGGGCACGGAGAUCUGCAGCUACAGCUACUCCAGUAACGUCUUGUCCAUCAGGCUGAACCGGCAGAGGCUGCUCGUUUGCCUGGAGGAGUCCAUUUACAUUCACAACAUUAAAGACAUGAAGCUUCUGAAGACCAUCCUGGAUAUUCCUCCAAACCCAACAGGUCUGUGUGCCCUGUCCAUCAACCAUUCCAAUUCCUACGUGGCCUAUCCUGGGAGCCGGACGACAGGCGAGAUCGUGCUCUACGACGGACACGCCCUGAAGACAGUCUGCACCAUUGCUGCCCACGAGGGGGCGCUGGCCGCCAUUGCCUUCAACGCCUCGGGCUCCAGACUGGCCAGCGCCUCCGAGAAAGGCACUGUCAUCCGGGUGUUCUCGGUUCCCGAUGGGCAAAAGCUCUAUGAGUUUCGGAGAGGCAUGAAAAGGUACGUGACGAUCAGCUCUCUGGCUUUCAGUAUGGACUCGCAACUCCUCUGUGCUUCGAGCAACACGGAGACCGUGCACAUCUUCAAGCUGGAGCACCUCGCCAACAGCCAGCCAGAGGAGCCCUCGACCUGGACCAGCUACGUGGGAAAGAUGCUCAUGGCUGCGACCAACUACCUCCCCACCCAGGUGUCCGACAUGAUGAACCAGGACAGGGCCUUUGCCACCGGGCGCCUGGGCUUCUCUGGGCACAGGAACAUCUGCACCCUCUCUACGAUCCAGAAGCUGCCGAGGCUCCUGGUGGCAUCAUCCAGUGGACACCUUUACAUCUACAACUUGGACCCUCAGGAUGGAGGAGACUGCGUCUUAAUCAAGACCCACAGCUUGCUUGGCUCAGGAACUGCCGAUGAGAAUAAAGAAAAUGACCUCAGAGCUUCAUUACCUCAGUCUUACGCAGCAACUGUGGCCAGACCAAGCCCUUCUGCAGCCUCCACGGUGCCAGGUUAUUCUGAGGAUGGCGGGGCGCUCCGAGGAGAGGUCAUCCCCGAACACGAGUUUGCGACGGGACCAGUGUGUCUUGAUGAUGAGAAUGAGUUUCCCCCUGUGAGCACUGGGCACCCUUAAGAGCAUCCAAUCCGUGUGCUUAGACAGAACCCUCACCUGUGCACGAGGCGGAGUCCUUUCCCUGUUGUCUCAUCUGUCACAACUAAUCCUCCCCUAACACCCGGGAAGCCUCAGACCCCACAGACUAGCCCACCUGACAGUGUCAGGAUAACCGCGUACUUGCCCAGGGAGCCGUGGCGGCCUCCCCGCGUUCGGAGGCCCGGGCCCCUUGACUCUGCUUCCUUAGCACCCUCUGUGCUGCUCACAGGGAGAAACUGGUCCGUCUAAGCUCUUAUUUUCCUGAGGUUCCUGAGAUGCUCUGAGCAGAAUGUUGCCGCCCUUGUGAUGCUAAAGGUGAUGCUCGGACAGGGCUGGGCCCUCGCCCUCCUCCGGCUCUGACAGGACUGACCCCUGUUCGUUAACAGCCACUCGGAGAGCGGAGCGGCGGUGGGAAGCCCCCCGGGCACCUCUAGCCGGGCACCUCCCCAGCAUCCUGCUUCAGCUGUCCUGGCAGCAAGGGCCCAGGCUUAGCUGGGCGCUGGGCAUGGCUCCUCUCAGCAUCCUGGAGUGAAGAGAAGCUUGUCCCCCUGGUUCUGGUUCUUCAAGCUUCCGUUCAGAGCAACAUAGAGACCCCCUCUUAUGAGCUUCAGUCAGAAAACAGCCCAGACGGUCCACUUGAAGUCGUUUCAAGAUGGAAGCGGUGUUUAGGCCAAGGCUUGGAGAGUCAGCUGACUGUCCCUCCUGGAAGCAGAGAGAAGUAGCCAUUGGGCAUAGAUCUUGGGCUGCAUUGUUUUCUCUUGGUCAUGAUUUUGGGUCAGUUGGAUUUCAUUUGCCAAAGGAUGGAGUGCGGGUCUGGCGUCCCUCUUGCAGAGAUCCAUAGGACAAUCUAGUAAGUCUAGUAAAACAAAAACAAGAGCUGCUGUAGGGCCCUUCGUGCAGGACUGCAGGGCCGUGUUCCUGACUUCCCAAAAGGCUCUGUGGGUUGCAGCUUGGGAUCGGCCUUUCUGGCUUUUAAUAGACAGAUUGUCAAAUACAGUGCCAACCAGUAAAGUUUACAUCUUAGGGGUGGAAAGCAGUCAUUCUUAAAAAUACUAAUUACACGUUUAAAAACGUCUCCCAGUAGACCCCUCCCAAGGGACCAGUUGUUUUGCUCUUGGGUUCUCCUGCCCCUACUCGCUAUAGCGGGAGCUUUUCUGUGCCCCCCAAAAGUUGGUGGUCAUUUAUCUGAAGUCGUAUCUUCCGGGAACCAGAGCAGGUCAGAUGCAGUGGGCAUACAUGUGGAAUCUAAUGGAAUCAGCAAUUUUGGUAAAAGUCUGUGACUGCUAUAAAAGAUUAGAUUGUUAGAUACUUAACUGAAAUCAGAGUAGACCUCGAAACCUCUUAUAUUUACAGAAUUUGGAUAUCGGCAUUCAGAAGGUGAUCCCUUGCUAAAGAAAACCUGUAUCAAAUAAUACGUACACCAUGCAGAUCAUUUGGAGUUAAAAAAAAAAAAAUUGGAGACGCUUAAGAACUAUAGCACUGAAAUGAAAGGCCUGUUUGCUUAUUCGGUGCCAGGAAGCCUGGUACAAGCCAUUCGUCUUGUCUCCCUCGUAAGGACCAAACGAGUGGAAGUUGGUUUAAACUGCGCCGAUUUUUAUUUAUGUAGAAGGAGGGCUUCCUGCCCGUGAGCGUGAGAGUGCCGAUCACUGAACGAGCUUCCCCAGAACGGUCGCUAGGCCCUAGCAAUUUCGGAGCAGCCCCCGUGUGCGGAGCCGGUGGUAGGGGUCUCGGAGACCAUCAGACCCCAGCCCUGCCCUCAUGCCUGCAGGCAGAGCGAUGGGGUAGCAGAUAAUCUCGUGCCGCGGCGAUCAGAAGGGCAGAACGAAGCAGUCAUGGUGAACAGCAGGACCGCCCCUCUGUCAGGCGGUUUUGGAGACGACCAGGAAGGUGGAUGCAAGGCAUGCGGUAGUGUGAGCAGAAUGGGGGGUCAGGAACCCGGGACGCGGUUUGCUGCCCAGCAGGCUCGUCUCAGCCCCGGUGGCUGGUGGGUGCGGGAGCUGCUGCGAAGCCACAUCCUGCCGUUGUUGAAAGUGCGUCCCAGCCAGAGCGUCCACAUGGACGAACCAUCUUGGUCUAUAUAACGCUAAUUUUAUAUUACAAAGAGCAUCCUUUCGAAAGCGUAUGCUGCGUAAAAAUGUACUUACAGGAGAAUCUCUCUGAACUGUAUUUCUUGUAUAUGCGACAUAGAGAGAGAGGCUAUUUUAGCCAGGCAAAAGGUUUGUGCAGUGAUUGGAAUAAAUCAUUUAUGACCUUUCAGUCCCAUUUAGGACACUGAUAAUAAAACCAUGGCAAUGCA
Molecule: non-coding RNA, 3835 nt
Organism: Delphinapterus leucas (beluga whale)
Lineage: Eukaryota; Metazoa; Chordata; Mammalia; Artiodactyla; Monodontidae
Source: RefSeq, a predicted model, not a curated record